GUUGAAACACCGAUUCUAGUACGAUCACCGAAGUUAAGCAACGUCGAGCCCGGUCAGUACUUAGAUGGGUAAUCGCUUGGGAACACUAGGUGCUGUAAG
This is a non-coding RNA of Acanthosepion pharaonis, 99 nucleotides long. The record is from the annotation of a GenBank genome assembly. NCBI's taxonomy places the organism in Eukaryota, Metazoa, Mollusca, Cephalopoda, Sepiida, Sepiidae.